This is a long non-coding RNA of Pecten maximus, 350 nucleotides long. RefSeq lists it as uncharacterized. NCBI's taxonomy places the organism in Eukaryota, Metazoa, Mollusca, Bivalvia, Pectinida, Pectinidae. The record is from RefSeq and is a predicted model, not a curated record. The transcript has 2 exons.
AUUAAUUGUAGAUGAAGUUCUUUUGUCCUGGUUAAUUGUAUAUUAAUUUCUUUCGUCCUGGUUAAUUGUAGAUGAAGUACCUUUUCCAUGUACUACUGAUUUGCCUCCUCGUCUUAACGGUUCAAACCGCAGCUGCAAAGACGUGUGUGCGCAAAUGCAGGUCUGCAUCUGGGAGGUGCGUCGCACAAGGGAAGAUGGUUCAAAUUAAAUUUCGGAGCGGGAUCCUCUACAGAUGCAAAUGCAAAAUCAAGGGCAGGGAAACGCAUUACGAAGAAUGUGCCCGGUUGGAUGUUUGUAAGAAGCCAGGCAUACCGUGAGAGUAAUAAAACUGAAGUGGUCAUCCACUGAAA